Small nuclear RNA from Equus asinus (donkey), 104 nucleotides. The record is from Ensembl. NCBI's taxonomy places the organism in Eukaryota, Metazoa, Chordata, Mammalia, Perissodactyla, Equidae.
GUGCUCGCUUUGGCAGCACAUAUAUUAAAAUUAGUACAAUACAGAGGUUAGCAUGGCCCCUGCACAAGGAUGACAUGCAAACUUGUGAAGUGUGCCAUAUUUUU